RNAcentral lists this unclassified non-coding RNA (385 nucleotides) under Hevea brasiliensis (rubber tree). Lineage: Eukaryota; Viridiplantae; Streptophyta; Magnoliopsida; Malpighiales; Euphorbiaceae. The record is from RNAcentral.
AGACGUUUCACACUUUCCACAAACUCCUUCCAAGGGACAUCACCAACAGUCCUCCAGUUCUCCUCCCUGUCCUUGUAAAACAAGCAGAAUUCAGAGCCUGGCUGGAACAGCCUUAGCCCAGUUGCAGAAUGUCUUCCAAACAUUUCUUCUAGUUGAAUUGCAAGGCUGGAGUAACCACCAUGAUCUAGUAUGCGAAUUUUCCUUCCAACAACUACCCCAUCCAUGUUUACCUUUACAUAAGCCCAAUUUUCUUUGCUUUGCACCCCCUCUGCAUCCUCAUCACAUUCUUCUUGUGUAAUUCCUUGAUAUCCUGAAUUCGAAUGUUUCAACGACGGAUUUGCUUGAGGCCAGGACAUCAGUUCACCAUACCCCUCCUGACUCAUGA